RNAcentral lists this ribosomal RNA (255 nucleotides) under uncultured bacterium. RNAcentral's name for it is "partial 16S ribosomal RNA". It matches the Rfam family "Bacterial small subunit ribosomal RNA", at positions 524 to 777 of the family's 1533-position model. The record is from RNAcentral.
UACGUAGGUGGCAAGCGUUGUCCGGAAUUAUUGGGCGUAAAGCGCGCGCAGGUGGUUUCUUAAGUCUGAUGUGAAAGCCCACGGCUCAACCGUGGAGGGUCAUUGGAAACUGGGGAACUUGAGUGCAGGAGAGAAGAGUGGAAUUCCACGUGUAGCGGUGAAAUGCGUAGAUAUCUGGAGGAACACCGGUGGCGAAGGCGCAUCCUGGACCGGCAUUGACGCGUGAGGAGCGGAAAGCCAGGGGAGCAAAACGGG